GUAUGAAGCUGACGUGCUCCUGAUUCCAAGGAGGAGGGAGGGAGCUUCAUGUUGAGCUGUUUUCCGGGCACGGUCUUUUUGUGGGGACCCUACUACAGGGCUCGCAUAGACACUGGUGUAUUUAAGAUGCUACUAAGAGGUUACCUGGCCAUCAAAUGCAAUCUGGAAGCAGGUGCUCCUCCUUCUGACCCAUCAGAACAUCAGAGGUCACCUGAUGCUGCUUUGUGGUGAUGGGGCCAUUUUAUCAUCUCACAUCAUCAUAUAAAGGAUGAAUAAUCCUGAGGUCCAGCACAGCCAGAUCACUGAAAUCUUUCUGAAAGGAACUCAUUACAUAUUUCUACAUCAACAAAACCCAUAAUCCGUGAUAAUCUCCUUUUCACCAGGACGGAAGGGGAAAGGAGGAAAGGAAAA
This is a long non-coding RNA of Canis lupus familiaris (dog), 411 nucleotides long. RefSeq lists it as uncharacterized. The record is from RefSeq and is a predicted model, not a curated record. The transcript has 3 exons. NCBI's taxonomy places the organism in Eukaryota, Metazoa, Chordata, Mammalia, Carnivora, Canidae.